Molecule: unclassified non-coding RNA, 229 nt
Filed under: Hevea brasiliensis (rubber tree)
Lineage: Eukaryota; Viridiplantae; Streptophyta; Magnoliopsida; Malpighiales; Euphorbiaceae
Source: RNAcentral
GUGCAUUAUGGGAGUUUUCAGACAAGAUGAGUCUGACAUGAGUUCUCUCUUUCUCUCUCUCUAUUUUAAAAAAAGGUUUGUAGAACCUUUAACAAGCCAAAGUCUUUGUCUGCAAUUAGGUUUGGAGAAAAUGGAUGAAAUACCAUUAUAAUUGCUUCUAGAAAUAACAAUAUUAUCCACAUAGACUAAGAGAUCAUCUUUCUUUCCCUGACUCUCAUAAAUAGGUGAG